Molecule: ribosomal RNA, 225 nt
Filed under: uncultured Arthrobacter sp.
Lineage: Bacteria; Bacillati; Actinomycetota; Actinomycetes; Micrococcales; Micrococcaceae
Description: partial 16S ribosomal RNA
Rfam family: Bacterial small subunit ribosomal RNA
Source: RNAcentral
ACGGGAGGCAGCAGUGGGGAAUAUUGCACAUUGGGCGCAUGCCUGAUGCAGCGACGCCGGUGAGGGAUGCGGCCUUCGGGUACUAAACCUCUUUCAGUAGGGAAGAAGCGAAAGUGACGGUACCUGCAGAAGAAGCGCCGGCUAACUACGUGCCAGCAGCCGCGGUAAUACGUAGGGCGCAAGCGUUAUCGGGAUUUAUUGGGCGUAAAGAGCUCGUAGGCGGUU